GAUGAAGAACGCAGCGAAAUGCGAUAAGUAAUGCGAAUUGCAGAAUUCAGUGAAUCAUCGAAUCUUUGAACGCACAUUGCGCCCCUUGGUAUUCCAUGGGGCAUGCCUGUUCGAGCGUCAUUUGUACCUUCAAGCCUUGCUUGGUGUUGGGUGUUUGUCUCGCCUCUGCGCGCAGACUCGCCUCAAAACAAUUGGCAGCCGGCGUAUUGAUUUCGGAGCGCAGUACAUCUCGCGCUUUGCACUCAGAACGACGACGUCCAAAAGUACAUUUUUACACUCUUGACCUCGGAUCAGGUAGGGAUACCCGCUGAACUUAAGCAUAUCAAUAAGCGGAGGA
This 337-nucleotide unclassified non-coding RNA is filed under the name soil metagenome. Its description in RNAcentral is "partial contains 5.8S ribosomal RNA, internal transcribed spacer 2, and large subunit ribosomal RNA". The stretch from base 1 to 120 matches the Rfam family "5.8S ribosomal RNA", at positions 35 to 154 of the family's 154-position model. The record is from RNAcentral.